Molecule: long non-coding RNA, 166 nt
Organism: Schistocerca serialis cubense
Lineage: Eukaryota; Metazoa; Arthropoda; Insecta; Orthoptera; Acrididae
Exons: 2
Source: RefSeq, a predicted model, not a curated record
GUUAAGCUCUAUAGGGUCUUCUCGUCCUAAAGAAAAAUUUAAGCCUUUUGACUCAAAAUUAAAUUCAAAAAUUUAUUAAGAGACAGUUGAUUUCUCGUCAAGCCAUUCAUUCCAGCCACUAAUUAAGAGACUAAUGAUUAUGCUACCUUUGCACGGUCAAAAUACC